RNAcentral lists this long non-coding RNA (2339 nucleotides) under Bos taurus (domestic cattle). RNAcentral describes it as "long non-coding RNA NONBTAT006925". The record is from RNAcentral. Lineage: Eukaryota; Metazoa; Chordata; Mammalia; Artiodactyla; Bovidae.
GGUUCCUUUAAGCAUAUUUAAUAUUUGAAUUCUCAUUCUUCUAUUUUCCCAGACCCCAGAAAACAGAGUUUUUAGAUGACCAAUAUUUUGUUCCAGAAACAUACAGCCUUAUCAGCUAAUUCAUAAAAGAGCUAUUUUACAAAGGUACAUCUGGAUAAUUAGAACAAUAAAGUCUUUUAGGCAUUUCAAAAUGUGAUCAGUAAAAAUACAUGAUUAUUAAUAAAGUUUUUUUUUUUUUAAGAUAGUUCCAGAUUUCUUUAAAAGUAAUUUCUGUUAAAGAGUAGUACAUGAUUGUACGGUGAACAAGGAAAAUAAAAUGCUCUAGUAGGAAGAGGCUGAUUAAGAGUGACCCACAGUGUGCACAAGUUACAUUCACGUCCUAAUAGCCAAAGAUAACCCAAGCAGUCCAAGUUAUUCAUAGCUGGUUUUAAAGUACACGAAAUAUAUGACUUCUAGGGCAGUGAUCAUGAUUUUAAAUUACAGCACUUUGGGGUUUAUUGAUUUGCCUUGCUGAACUUUGUUCUCUGAAAAGGAAAGAGACACCUCAAAUGUAAUCUGCCACUUAAUAGCAAGGGAUCCCUUACGGCCACGGGAAAGAGCACAGGGUCACGGCAGGUCACGAUAGCUAAAACCCGCUCUCCUGCUCUGGGAAGGUGGCUCUGUCCACCGCCCUUGGAUCUUUCCGCAUGGAAGUUGAUUCCAACUUCAGUCACCAACUUGGAGAAAACGGCUUUGAUGGUCAUCAGUCUCACCCAAAAAGAGAUUACCUAAUUCCAUUGUCCUGAAAGGCAGGUAUAGUAUCAAAGUAGGAUGGAUGUGAUUAUAAUGGACAAAAGGGAAAAAAUAAAAAUAAAAGGAGAGCAUGGGAGGCCAGGAUGAGGAGGAGGAGGAAGACAUGAGGCUGGUGAGAUAGAAAAGAAAACUCAAAAUCGUGGAAUCUUUUCAGAAUUAGACUUCACUUGGGGGCUUCAUUUGAAGAUCUAGAUACGAAUUUAUUUGGAGGUACUAGAGCAACAGUCAAAAUAUUUUUCCAGUUAGCCCUGUUUUUGUUCCAAGGAGAGGUUAAACUUCAGGAAAAGGAAAAGCAAACAGUUGCUAAGGACAAGGGGUUGGCUGAACCAGAAGAGAAACUAAAACUCUGCUAACGUACAAAUCUUCUUAAAUAAAUGAGUGCUAGGGAAUUAUUCAAUGACCCUGUACUAUCUGAAGUUAAGAUGAAAGUUCUAUUUGUAUUUACCUUUCUUCUGAUUAACUGCCCACUGAUGGUAUUAGUGUCAAGUAACUACAGGUACCCCUUUUAGUUGGGAGUGACUACAUUAUUUCCAGCAGCACAAUGUAACCAUUUGGUUUCUACUUGUUUCUCUUAAGAGAUACAGAAAGUUCAAGUCCCAAGCUUUACUUAUAUAUUAGAUUCUGCUUCUAAAUUUUUUAAUCCCAUUUUAAUUUAUACUUGGGCUAUAAAUCAAAAUAAAAUUCUAAUUUAUAGAUGAGGUCCAACGAUCCAAGUUGGUCUAUUUAAAAACACAGAUCACUUUUGGAAAGACAGAAACAAGAAUCUGGACAUAGAUGAGCUUUGCUAAGUUGUAGUGGUGUUUAUAAACACAGUUGGGAAUCCUUACCACUUAUGAUGGGGGGAAAUUUUAUAUAUAUAUUAUAUAUAUAUAAUGUAUAUAUAUAUAUUUUUUUGGGCAGAUGGUGAGCGGAUGGCAGGGAGAGCAAAAUUACAUCUUAACUACCCACAGAGUUCAGAGGGUACUACUGAAAGACAUGAGCAGUGAAUCAACUCCUUGUGUAUUAACAGAAUUGUAAUAUUUGACAAAUGAUUUCAUUUUUGAUUGGCAAAAAUACUUCAAAACACAUUAAUAUAUACCUGAUGCACAAAGAAAACCACAGAAAGCCAACAGAACUGAAGGGAGUUCUCAAGUUGCAGUUCUGAAACAUGUAUCCUCUGGAGGGUGCUGCCAGGGCUACUAUUCAUUCUAGAGCAGGCAGUUCCCAACGCCUUGCCUGCAGUAUCCAGUGUAUGUUCUGGUCUGCAAUUUUUAAGGUCAGUCAUGCACCAGUGUGGAAAAAGCUCCAGCAGUGAAGUCAGAGGAUGUGCUUCUGGAGCUGGCUGGAGCAGCUCUGCCUUCUCCACCGCAUCCUUCUCCACUCCACCCUUGGCUCUCUUCUCAAACUCUAAGAGCCCUUUGGCACCAUCAGUGCAAAAAUCAGAGUCAAACCUCCAGGUACUAAAAUUUUACUGGCCUUAUAAUCAGCAGUACCCGUGGCUCAUGAAAGCCAUUGUUCAACUCAGUAGUGAUUCAGUUACAUAACCUUCCCACACUCUCACCCGCUCC